RNAcentral lists this long non-coding RNA (1173 nucleotides) under Naja naja (Indian cobra). Its description in RNAcentral is "lncRNA (ENSNNAG00000014543.1)". The record is from RNAcentral. Lineage: Eukaryota; Metazoa; Chordata; Lepidosauria; Squamata; Elapidae.
CCCUGCGCACAUGGGCACAGGCUCCUCAGGGGCCUCUUCCUCACUGCUGCCAGCCUCCCCAAUCUCCGAAGGCAGCACCCCACUCCCUGAUGGUCCUGGCCCCAUCCCUGCAUCCCACAGGCCCCUCAUCUGAGUCCUCGCUCUCUGAGACCUCAGCCGUCCAGCACCUGCUUCCAGCAAACCACAACACUUCCUUAGGAUGACUUCUCCCAUGGACCUAGGUGUCUUCUGGUGCUGAAGGAACGUGUAGCCCAACCUUGUGUCUUCUCAUGAUGUGCAUAGAGGGAAUGAGUUAGGUCUUUCAGCUACUGAGAGAUGAAACCAGGGGUAAAACAUACCACGGUGAUACUACUGCAUGAUAACAAAAGUAGGAAUCAACCUUGCAUGAAGACAAAGAUAUCUUCAUUUGUGGACCUUAACCAUUGGGAGUUGUUCCUUCUCCAUUUGGGAGUGGUGGCCCAGGACAUACAUGCCCCAAUGCCUUUUGGAGGGGUCAAGCUUUGUGCCAAAACUGAGUCUCUUGUCCCCCUCUCCCCACCCGGAAUACGCCAAGGCAGUCCACGCAAAUUGUGUCUCCCUUCCAUUUCUCUCUGUAAUUGUAAUUCUUCUCUGCCUCAUUCCGAAUGUCUUAAUAUCUUGUAUUUAUUUUUGUUGACCAAGUAAAUGCUUUUCUUUUUAUUUUUUAACUGGGCUGGUUCUUUCAUCUGCCACCACGCAAAUAAGGUCACACACUCAUAAUCAUCCUCAGCUUAACGCACCAUCCAUCGUUAGACGCUACAGCCUGGCUCCAUUUUUACAACCUUUCUGGCUACCGUUAUUAAGCGAACACUGCCAUUUGUUCUGACCAAGGCUUCCUAGACUGUAAUUACGCACACGCUUAUUUUAAAAACAAGUCUUGUUUUAUUGCAACGCUGGGAAUUAUUUUCCUUCCCAGCUGGUAAUGAAUCUCAAAACAGUCCCUCGAGAUAAGCACCCACCUUUCUUCCCUGUGAAGUGCUGCCAAUAACAGAAAGUGUCCAAUGAACUAGGAAAAAAACCCAACCGAAGUACAAAGAGCUUCAAGAAUGAGUCUGAACCGAACGAACGACUUUGCUUCCUGCAAAGGUUUCAUAAUCUUGGCCUGACUUUUAUCCCUUAUGGAAGGGGCCAUCACCUCCCAGCCUUACUCCCGAA